GCAAGAUCCACAGCAAUGUUUCUGUAGGGUCUUCCAUGCUGUCCAUGGAUUGGAUUGGAUUUGAAUGACCUAUUUUAAGAGCACCCUGGAAAGGGAUGUAUUUAUCUGCAUGAUGGAGAAGUCUAAUUGGGAAACAAAUCCACUGUUGUCUGAAGCAAAACUGCUGAAAAGUCUAAAUUGGAAUUUCUAUUGCUAUUGUAUAUUUUGCUUUUAUCCCUCUGUUUUCCCCCCCAUCCCUUAUAUGAAUAAUACUUGGCACUUUGAAUCAUAAGAGAUAAACUAACCCGCUUCAUAGAGGGCAAAGGAAACAGUUAUCUGCAUUUUGUUAUAGGAGAGAGCGGCCCAAAGUCAUGCAGUGAGGCAGUGCGCCUGAGAGCCUGUCUAACCACUAGGCAACACGUCCUCACUAAAACAAUGUGAUUUUUAAAUCGGUAACAACUCUUGGCACUUCCAGAGCAUGUUUCAAUGUUCAGAGUGGUUUAAAAGGCUGGAUGUUUAAUUCAAUGUAGUCAUUAAAUGCUGGUUUACUAAUUGCGGCUCCAACGCUUAACGGAUUAAUCCUUGUGCACCUGAGCAGGCCCCUUUGAAUUCUGUUACCGCCUGCAGGGUGAAUGAGUGGCUCAGUUGUCUGUGUUUGUGUCAGUUGUUCACUCCCCUGGAGUUUUGCACCUGCCCCUUUAACACUGGCUCUGCCCGGCCCCCUUUCAGCAGGGAAGGCAGAGUCUGAGCUGGGAGAAUUUGCAGCUUCUGAGGGUCUGUGCUAGGUGGCCAGGAGGGAGGAGGCACAAAGAGCCAGGAGCCAGGCUGCUGCCCCCUUGCACAGCAGGGGCUGGGCUGAGAUGGCUGAGGAGCCACCCAGCACCCGGCUGUCGGCCAAAGGAGCAGGAGAGUGAGGAAGAAAAGAAACUUUUCUCCUGAAGUGGAAAUUGUGGCAAAAGGGAGAAAAGUGAGCAGGGGGGAUCACGCAGCCGGGCCAGGGCAGACAAGAUUCCGGGAAAGGACGCGGAUUCUGCUGUGACCUCUGCAGCUCUCCUUACACCAUCGACCCCGGCCGCAGAGGCAACCAGCUGAAGACCUCUAGCUCUCUGCCUUCUCCGCGCCACAAACGGGAAGCCAGGCCAGGCCAGGUGCUGACACUUUGCAAUGCAUGCGGUCUGACACUUAGCAGGCCUCGGAGCACUCCGAACCCUGUGAAGGAUCCUGGGCCGGACGAGAGGAAGCGGCAUGAAGAGCAGCUGCAGGCGUUUGGACGGUCCAUGGUGGAGCUGCUCGGGGACCAAGAUGGGAGCAAGCUCUGCUGUCCUGCCUACACCAGGAAACCUUGCCUCUGCCUCCAGAAUUAUCUCAAAGCCCCAGCCUCUCGGAUCCAAUCCCAUGGGCCUCCCCUUCCCGGAGGGCUCAGCAGCUCCUCGUAGCAGGGCACCACUCUUUGUAGAGCCCCCCCAUCCACAUGCGGUUCCAUGUCCGACUCCCUGAUGUGCUGACAUGCUGCUCCCGUGGCAGGGCUGGGCGAGAGCGAGAGCCGUACGCGAGCCUUCGAGUUCUUGAGGUUGCUGCAGGAAUCCAAGCAACUGAAAGCCGUGAAGUUCUGCAGCGACAGGGCAAGCCGGGGAGCCCAGGAGGCAAGGAGUGGGGUGGGGUGAAACCCCUAGGGAGUAAUGGAGCAUCCGCGGUGUAAGCAGCACAUCCCCUAGCUGAGGGGUCGUGCGUGUGGGCAGAGCCUUCCCCAGGCAGGAUUCUCCAUCAGGGUGUCCUCCAAUGUGUUGCUGCCGGGGCUCUGGCCCAGCUGACUCGUGGGAAAUGCCGAUAAUCAUGGACAAGAACAGAGUUUAGGGUGACGACUGAUCACUUUCAGUCCAGAGGGAGACCUACAGGGAAGGGAUUUGGGGCGAUGACAUGCUAUUGUCUCGGGUGUCCAUAGGCUCCCAGGGCCUCUGCAGACCCAUGGGGUGGUACUGGUUAGCAGCAAGCCCAGCUGGUUUUUGAGUGGCUAUGUUGUCCAGUGGUUAGAGCAGGGGACUGGGCCUUGGGAUUCCUGGGUUCUUUUCCCAGCACCGGUAUGAAUUCAGUGUAUAAUUUGUUUGGGGCAAGUGCUUUCCCCUGCCUUUCUCCAGUAGCGAAAUGGGGGCUAGGCACCCUGAUUCCAUGCAGCGCGCUGAGGCCCUGAGCCAAGGGAACAACACUGUCCUGUUGAUUUCCUCAAGGAGGAGAGCUGUUGGGCUGGGAAGCGGCCAGCGGAGGUCCCUAGUCUUUGAGGACUUUGUCCUGAAGAGCCGGAGGAUGUUGCGUGAAGAGCUGAAACUAUGCGAGAGAGCCACGCAAAGGAUUCUGGGAUACUCCUGCAUGAGAAACUCAAAACUAGCAGCCAGAAGCUCCCCAGAGCUGAGCGGAAGAAGGGGAAAGGAGCUCUGGGGCUCCUCAAGCCCAUUGCAGAACUUGGCAAAGAGAAGUGCUGUGCGGACAACUGCACUGCAAUGGCCCACACCUACAGCCGGCUGCUGCAGCACUGGAGGGAUCGAGCAUUAAUGGGCCAGUUAGAGGCCCGCCGAGUCCUAGCUGAAAUGCUGAUGCCCUCAGGAGAAUCCCAAGCCGAACAAGAAGGGUUCUGUUGCUGGGGAGAGAGCGCAACCCAGUCAGGCACCAUCGUUGGCUUCCCCCUCCACAGCUGGUUCCCAGGAGCUGCCUUCAGCCUCGGUCCAUGGGCCAUCCUCAGCUGGCGAGCCACCCACCUCUGGAACCGGCGCUCUGGACCCCUGCCCCCCACCGCAGGCCACGCUUGUCUCUAGCAUUGUCUCAGCACCGCCUGGCACUGGGGGGGAGAAUCACCUUGUACCAGAAGGCCAGCUGGCACGUUCUCUCCUGCACUGGCUGCUGCUCCAUCAGCUUCUCUCGCCCUCUCCAGUCCCCUACUGCACAUAGCUUAGACUGAGCAGCAGCAUCCACAGGGACUUGGCUACUUGAGGGAUCCGGCCCACCCUGCGCAGCCUUCACCCCUGGUCCAGUCUCUGGCUCGCUCUCAGCUUCUUGGUCCAGACUCCGGGAUGUGUUCAGCCCGUCAGCAGAUGCAGGGAGCAGAGGAACUAUGGAAAGGCCAAGAGCUGCAGCCUCCUUUGAUCCUGAUGGGGGCAAGCAACGGCGCUGUUCCAGGAUCCAUUAACCCGGGGGGGCCAGUUUCUUGGUGCUGUAAGGGGCCCACUGCCCACCCGAGAAUCGAGGCUCCCAUCCCAGCUGGCAGGAGGUGUUGAGACCUGACAGCCGGUAACAUCCUUUCUGAGUUUUCCCCCUUCACCUCCCCUUAGCGUUUCUGGUGGACUUGCCUGAACCCCACUGCUCACACUUGUAGCCCAGCUCCAGCCUGCUAGCUCCAGGCUCUGCCCUUCGCUCAGCCCGAGGUGUGUGAGGGUGCCACCUUCCCAGCCAGGGCAGGGGAGUGAAAGGCUGGGAGUCAAUCCUAGGGCUCCUGUCUGCUGGUGCAGAAUGCUAACCAUAAAUCCCCUCCACUCCCUGGGCCAGCCCCGCUGCAGUCUGACUCUGUAGCAGGAGCCUGCGCAGGGUUAAGCAUUUGGUUCCCCCUUGGCCUGGCAAGAGAAGGUGCUGGUGUGAUGACAGUGCAGACCUGCAGCUGUCCCUCCUGCAGGAUCCCAAACCUCUUCACUGUUGCCUACCAGAGGGCAGGAGGCAGUGAAAACAUCUGGCAUCUGACCCCACUUCCCCCCCUUCCAAAGGGCUGGGCCUUGCCUGCAGCCUCCACGUGCGAUGUUCCUCUCUGCUUGGAGAGUCCCAUCCUUCUGAAGUUCUCUCCUGUGUUGGUCCGUACCUGGGGGCCAGCUGCAAGGUUUGUCCUUAGCCUACUUACCGAGCCUCUGCUUUGUGUCUCUGCAUCUUGCCCUCCCCAGCAGCCUCCAUCCUCCGCGUUAGCAGCGCGCGCGGGGCUGCCCCAGCGCUCCUGGGGGCUGGAGCGUGGGUUGCAGAACGCAGUUUGCCAGCUCAGCUGCGGGGGCUGCUCUCAGCUCCACAGGCAAAUGGCGCCUGCUUUAUAGUGAAAGCUGAAGGACAGCACGUGCGUGGGGAGGCUAAGAUCAACGUUCACCUUGGCAGGCCACUGACUUUGUUGGCCGUACCCAGGGCAGCACAAUGUCCAGCCCUGACUGCACUGGCACCUAGGGGGUCCCUGCUAUUCAGCAGGUUAUCGAUACGGUAUUGCUACCAGCAAGCAAAUACAGAGUGCAAUGGCAAGCAAAUGGCCAACCUAAAGCUAGUGUGAGAAGGCAGCUGUGAAGAGUCAAACAGCUGUGCUGGGCCUGGGGAAUCUGUGGCCACCCUUGCAAUUCCUGUCUCCCUGGAGAGGAUUCAAAGGCCAUCGCUUCAGGCAGGGGUCAGAACUCUAACUGGCAUGGCUCUUGACUUCUGAAAGCGAGUCUGCCGGGGUGCAUGCCCGAAGGGAGAGAGGCUGGGGCCCUGGAGCAGCUGUGUGUGAAAGCAGUUCAGUGUACCUGGACACCACUGCCCCCAGCAGGCGUGUGCACAGCUUGGGUGGGGACUGGGCUCUCGGUACCCUAAGGGAUGAGCGAGGCCUCCUUUUGGGGAGGGGGCUGCUUCUAGGCUUUGGAACUCUGUUCCAUUGCAGCCUGCCUCUCUGUGACUGCCCUGUAGGACAGACAGUUCAAGCAAUUGUUUGGAGAUGGAAAACAGUCACGGGCCUGUCAUCGUUGGCUAGGAGAGCUAGUUACUGUUCCCCAAAAGCCCUGCACCACUGGCUGUUAGUCAAAGCAUUGGGCAGUCAAUGCAAACAGAGACCCGGGAAGCUCGUAACCACCUGCUUAAACUUUAGCAUGUGCACUUUCCCCAGACAGGGCUUUGCUUGCACUGCUGGUGGAGUUCUCCAAAAAAACAACACCCAAAGGCCUUGCUUCCUGCCUUCUCUCUCCUGGGCUAGGAGUCCUCAGCCCAGACAAGGGGCUGCUGUGUUCUAGGGAAGCAGUAGAAAGUUACUCUUGGCCUGGAAGUUUGGAUCACAAAUGUUUAUUAAGCACAACCCCUCCUCCCCCAAGCAUUUCUAUAUAUUAAUUCAUUUGGCAGAUUAUUAUUUUUAAGGAAAAAACAAAGUACCUGAUGGGUUAAAAUUCCCUCUUAAAAUGACAUUAGCAAAUGCACAUGUA
This is an RNA transcript of Dermochelys coriacea (leatherback sea turtle), 5159 nucleotides long. RefSeq lists it as uncharacterized. The record is from RefSeq and is a predicted model, not a curated record. The transcript is spliced from 11 exons. Lineage: Eukaryota; Metazoa; Chordata; Testudines; Dermochelyidae.